Molecule: long non-coding RNA, 477 nt
Organism: Cotesia glomerata
Lineage: Eukaryota; Metazoa; Arthropoda; Insecta; Hymenoptera; Braconidae
Exons: 2
Source: RefSeq, a predicted model, not a curated record
CAUGGUCACUUUGAUUAUUUAUUUCUUUUACGCACGGUUGCCAACUACCAGCCGCUCUCUCGCUCUCUCACUCCUUCACUGAAGUUCGUUAGUUGGGAAACCAGACAACUUAACUCCAAAACGAUAAACGUUUAACUUAUUCUCACCAGAACUGUUUGUUUUUAUAUCAACUUUAAACCUAAAUGAGAUGGCGCUAUUUUUGUAUUAUUUGAAUAAGGAAACAAGAUAAAUUUAUUGUACCUGUAGGUAAAAAAAGGAUAAACAUGGAGGAGAUUGGAAAGAAGGAAAAGAGAGCAAGAAUUAAACUCUUAAAUAUGUAUGGAUGAUAUUCUUGUUGCUAGUGUGAUGGUGGUACAAUUGUUAGUAGCUCUGCUUAUUGAUAUAGUUAGCGGCUACUUUCAUCCAAGAUCUUCGAUAAUGAUACUCAAAAUAGCGGACCGACAAUAAAUAGUUUUAUUUUUUUAAUAUUACAUUAUU